AUGAGUCGACUUGAUGGGAUCAACAUCCCCGAUGGCAAGUUCUACCUUGGAGAUGCUGGCUAUGCAUGUCGGCCGGGUAUUCUUCCACCCUUCAGGAAAAUAAGGUACCAUCUCAAUGAGUUCUCUUGUAGGAACUUUCCUAGGACUGCACAGGAGCUGUUUAAUCUCAGACACUCCAGCCUUAGAGUAACUGUUGAGAGAGCAUUUGGAGCUCUGAAGAACAAGUUUAAGAUCCUGGAUCAGAAGCCAUUCCACCCAUACUCCACUCAAGUUAAGCUAGUUCUUGCUUGUUGCAUUCUGCAUAACUAG
RNAcentral lists this ribosomal RNA (309 nucleotides) under Triticum aestivum (bread wheat). RNAcentral describes it as "partial small subunit ribosomal RNA". Lineage: Eukaryota; Viridiplantae; Streptophyta; Magnoliopsida; Poales; Poaceae. The record is from RNAcentral.